Molecule: long non-coding RNA, 1247 nt
Organism: Spinacia oleracea (spinach)
Lineage: Eukaryota; Viridiplantae; Streptophyta; Magnoliopsida; Caryophyllales; Amaranthaceae
Exons: 3
Source: RefSeq, a predicted model, not a curated record
GAAAGCGCUUGAUUACCAACUGAUUUUACCGACCGCCGUGAAAGUAGUCAGUAAAAAUAAAUUUACCAACCGAAAUAGAAACGGUCGCUAAAUUUACCGACCGAAUGUAGAGCGGUUGGUAAAUUUAAAAUUUACCAACCGCUUUCAUAACGGUCGUAAAUUUAUCGACUGCAUAAACUUCCAUUCCGACUAUUGAGCAGUCGGUAAAUUCCGACUAUUUUCAAAAUAAAUUUAAAAUUUUAAUAACCGCCUAUAUAAUAUAUCCGACCAAAAAAGCGGUCGCUAAAAUUAAAAAAAAAAUAAAAAAAAAAUAAAUAAUCAAUGACCAAAAACGGUCACUAAAUUAAAAAAAGAAAAAAAAAAUUCUUGUCUGCCUUCCUCCUCCUUCGACCAAUUUAGAGAAAUUAAAAAUAGAAAGUUGAAGAGCCUUCCCUCCUUCGACCUUCGACGCAGCCGGUGAACCACCCCCCUCCCCCGACGCAGCCGGUUGCCGCCACCCUAACCCCCCUACUCGGCCAGAGUGCACGACCCACCCAGCCCAGCCGUGCACGGUUCCCCCCAGCCAGCAGCCCAGCCCACGCCCAACCCCCCCCAGAGCCGCGCACGGCGCCCCCCAGCCAGCAGCCCAGGCGGACCACCCACCGGACCGGACUACUCAAUCGUCGAUGUUUUCCACUCCAGAUCUUGUAUGUGAACUCUUCGAUCUUUGAAGGAAAACUAUGAAAAAAAUGUUGCUGAAUGUGUUGAAAAAGGCAUUGCUAAAGAUCCAAACCAAAUCUACUUUGAGACAGUAGGUGGGAGAAAGAAGGGAAAGGUCCCCGGGCUGGGGAGUGGAGACUCUCUAUACUUUGCACCAUCUAGAAGGGGUGGUAGUUCUUCUAGCUCAUACACCCCAUCUAUUUAUUCUCAAAUGUCAUCUCGAUUGGAAGAGACUCAACAACAGUUGACCCAAAAAUCCAUUGAGCUUGAAACAACAAAAAAUCAGAUGUUAAAGGCUAUAGAGGACGAUCUACUUUUGAGGCAAAGGGAGAGAGAAGAAAGAGAAGCAGAGCGACUAGAGCACCAAAGGGAGAUGGAAAGGGAGAGACAAGAGAGAGAAAGGGAGAGACAAGAAAGAGAAGAACAUGCCGCCCAGAUGAAAAAGGCAAUGGAGUCUUACGAGCGGAUGUUCAGUCAAUGUACUGGUUUUCCUUUCUCGCAGUCGCAGGACCCUUGAGAUCCAACCGGCGGCGGGACACCUUUGUGUU